This 253-nucleotide ribosomal RNA is filed under the name uncultured bacterium. RNAcentral describes it as "partial 16S ribosomal RNA". It matches the Rfam family "Bacterial small subunit ribosomal RNA", at positions 524 to 776 of the family's 1533-position model. The record is from RNAcentral.
UACAGAGGCCCCAAGCGUUAUCCGGAAUCACUGGGCGUAAAGGGUGUGUAGGUGGUUUUAUUAGUCAUCCGUUAAAUCUCUCGGCCUAACCGGGAAAAUGCGAAUGAUACGGUAAAACUAGAGGAUGCGAGGGGUGAAUGGAACUCAUGGAGUAGGGGUGAAAUCCGUUGAUAUCAUGGGGAACACCAAAAGCGAAGGCAGUUCACUGGCGCAUUCCUGACACUGAAACACGAAAGCGUAGGUAGCGAAUGGG